UAACGACAUGACCAAAAUGGCCU
This 23-nucleotide non-coding RNA is filed under the name Arabidopsis thaliana (thale cress). Lineage: Eukaryota; Viridiplantae; Streptophyta; Magnoliopsida; Brassicales; Brassicaceae. The record is from RNAcentral.